CCGGUGGCCUUGACCAAGCCCCUCACUGUUGCUGGGGCUCUCCUGUACAGUUCCAUCUGCACACUGGGUGUGGGGCUUACCUGUACGGUUCCAUCUGCACACCGGGUGUGGGGCUCUCCUGUACAGCUCCACCUGCACACCGGGUGUGGGGCUCUCCUGUACAGCUCCAUCUGCACACCGGGUGUGGGGCUCUCCUGUACAGCUCCAUCUGCACACCGGGUGUGGGGCUCUCCUGUACAGCUCCAUCUGCACACCGGGUGUGGGGCUCUCCUGUACAGCUCCAUCUGCACACCGGGUGUGGGCUCUCCUGUACAGCUCCACCUGCACACCGGGUGUGGGGCUCACCUGUACAGCUCCACCUGCACACCGGGUGUGGGGCUCUCCUGUACAGCUCCAUCUGCACACCGGGUGUGGGGCUCUCCUGUACAGCUCCACCUGCACACCGGGUGUGGGGCUCUCCUGUACAGCUCCACCUGCACACCGGGUGUGGGGCUCUCCUGUACAGCUCCAUCUGCACACCGGGUGUGGGGCUCACCUGUACGGUUCCACCUGCACACCGGGCGUGGGGCUCUCCUGUACAGCUCCACCUGCACACCGGGUGUGGGGCUCUCCUGUACAGCUCCAUCUGCACACCGGGUGUGGGGCUCUCCUGUACAGCUCCACCUGCACACUGGGCGUGGGGCUCUCCUGUACAGCUCCACCUGCACACCGGGUGUGGGGCUCUCCUGUACAGCUCCAUCUGCACACCGGGUGUGGGGCUCUCCUGUACAGUUCCAUCUGCACACCGGGCGUGGGGCUCUCCUGUACAGCUCCAUCUGCACACCGGGUGUGGGGCUCUCCUGUACAGCUCCAUCUGCACACCGGGUGUGGGGCUCUCCUGUACAGCUCCACCUGCACACUGGGUGUGGUGCGGGGAUGGGACUCUGGGGAGCUCUGACACUCAGUGAUCCUGUGACCCUGUUCAGUUUACCCACUGGCUCACUGUCCCUGCUGCACAGUCUCCCUAGCUCUAUAGAACAGGGCCUGUGCCUCAGCUGA
This 1038-nucleotide long non-coding RNA is filed under the name Callithrix jacchus (white-tufted-ear marmoset). Its description in RNAcentral is "lncRNA (ENSCJAG00000078217.1)". Lineage: Eukaryota; Metazoa; Chordata; Mammalia; Primates; Cebidae. The record is from RNAcentral.